UUGGGUCUAGUAGGUUCUGACUCGUUUACCUCACAUCCUCAAAGGCUAUAUCACUCUUUUAAAGACUGUGCCUGCCCUCUUCCCUCCUGUUUCAGGAGGGCCUGGUAUGGCUUGCUGUGCAUUAUAUACAAGGUGACAAUCGUAUUUCCCAGCUUUACCUAUAUGGACAAGUGGCUAAAAACGUGACUAGGGAGGGAGGCAGAAGCCAAGUAGUGAGGGGACGCAUAAGCAAAGGUAAGUCAUAUUAUAUCAUGAAGACAAAAAAACCCAAGGAAAGUCUUAAGCAGGAGCGUUCCUUAGCCAAACUGGCUAGAAAAAUCACCACUGCAUUUCAACAGAGACUGGACAUCACCAAGGGACCAAAGGCAGAGCCACUGCGGUUAGGGGCCAGGGCAGUCAUCCAAGCAAGAUGAGGCAGGCCAAGUGCAGAGCCACGUAGACCUGAGGGCCGCAUCCAGGGGCUGCGGGAGACGCCAGCUUUGCGGCACUAACUCCAUCUCCAUUUCUGAGCCUGAGAACACCAGCUGUUCUAAGCCCCACAGCAACACCUUCAGAAGAGAAUUUCUCAUCCAGGCCCUUGAAACAAAUCUUUCUGUGGGCCCAGGACCAGCAAAGAUGAAAAGGAAUGCCUAAAUCCUUUAGCGAACUCCUACACGUCACCUCUCCUGACAUUUUUCUCAUUAUAAGAGCCUCUUCGGGGAACGUCUGGGCAGCCAGAGGCCCAUCAGACCCAGCUCAUUUUUGAAGGAAGAGGUCCCUGGUGACAGAGCAGACGAUUCACGGAUGAGGAAACUGCCCUAGAGUACAUCACAAUUGGCCUGCAGAGAACCUCCACUCCCACCAACCUGCUUCCAGCUUUUGAACUCAUCUGCUUGCUCCUGCUCCUGCCCUUUAAAAUCCAUCCUCCACACUACAGCCCAGGCCUCCUCCCAUUUCUGGGAAAAUUGGCUCCCUCUGCUUGUCACCGUCUGGAAGGCUGCCCCAUCCACUGAAGAGCAGGAUCCUUGUGACCAGUCCCUGCCUACCACGGCCCCCCAUCUCUGCUUGGUGGAGGUUUUCCUGGAAGCCACCCUUUGGAAGCCAAGAAGGAAAAGCAGAGCCACUUCACUCUUGCUAACACAGUGGACAAACCCUCCAACCUCACUCCCCACCCAACACACAGCUGGCUCAGUCCAGCCAGGACGCUCCUCACCGGACAUCCAACAGCCAGAUUUCCACAUCAGUGUUUCCUGGAAAAGUGUGGCCACCAGAGGACUCUACCACAGAAGGCUCUCCCAGAGCUUCUGGAAUAGAAACGAGGCGGCUCCCGAUCUUCAUAAGGAGACAUUCACUUGCUUUCUUUCACACCUGAAUCUCAGGAAGGGAGUUAGGAAAGCUGAGAAACACCUGCGCCUCCCCUAUGCUGCCGGGCUCUCAAAUUACACAACCAAGAAGGUUUCCAAAUAGCCUCUGUGGACAGCCCAUGAACGCUCCUUCCAGCCUCGACUUUGCUCAAAGGCUACUAAAUCCACAUAGGAGGGAUUCUGUUCUCUGGAUCGGAAAGAAACAUCACUGUAUCUCUAGGAGGCCAGGCUUGAUUUCUGAUGUUUCCAGAGGGUUUUUCUCAGGCAAACUCACCCAUAACUACACACCUAUCUGGCUUGCUUUCUGUCUUUUUGAGUUGCACAGAGCAUUUUCAGUCAAAAUUUGCUACUUUGUUCUUUGUGAAGUAGGUCGGGGGAGGGGGGUUUAAAUUAUUAAUACAAUCUCUAUG
This is a non-coding RNA of Odocoileus virginianus texanus, 1753 nucleotides long. The record is from RefSeq and is a predicted model, not a curated record. NCBI's taxonomy places the organism in Eukaryota, Metazoa, Chordata, Mammalia, Artiodactyla, Cervidae.